Molecule: ribosomal RNA, 467 nt
Filed under: uncultured bacterium
Lineage: Bacteria
Description: partial 16S ribosomal RNA
Rfam family: Bacterial small subunit ribosomal RNA
Source: RNAcentral
ACGAACGCUGGCGGCGUGCUUAACCCAUGCAAGUCGAACGGAAAGGCCCUGCUUUUGUGGGGUGCUCGAGUGGCGAACGGGUGAGUAACACGUGAGUAACCUGCCCUUGACUUUGGGAUAACUUCAGGAAACUGGGGCUAAUACCGGAUAGGAGCUCCUGCUGCAUGGUGGGGGUUGGAAAAUUUCGGCGGUUGGGGAUGGACUCGCGGCUUAUCAGCUUGUUGGUGGGGUAGUGGCUUACCAAGGCUUUGACGGGUAGCCGGCCUGAGAGGGUGACCGGCCAAAUUGGGACUGAGAUACGGCCCAGACUCCUACGGGAGGCAGCAGUGGGGAAUAUUGCACAAUGGGCGGAAGCCUGAUGCAGCAACGCCGCGUGCGGGAUGACGGCCUUCGGGUUGUAAACCGCUUUCGCCUGUGACGAAGCGUGAGUGACGGUAAUGGGUAAAGAAGCACCGGCUAACUACGUG